This 3259-nucleotide long non-coding RNA is filed under the name Sus scrofa (pig). RNAcentral's name for it is "lncRNA (ENSSSCG00015047239.1)". Lineage: Eukaryota; Metazoa; Chordata; Mammalia; Artiodactyla; Suidae. The record is from RNAcentral.
GGGAAAGAGUUGAAAAUUAAUGCUGAAUCAAAUACUGUCACACAGAUUAGUAGAGGCAUCUUCACAGUCAGUCUCCAAUGCCUUUCUCUUUGCUGUGAACACUGAAUAAUAAUUAUUUUAUGAAGGUAGUGCAUUGUAAAUAUUUAUAAACAGAAAUGUAAAACAGUGAGACCACAGUGAAUAAAUUAUUUUGAAAUAUUUUAAAAUCCAGUUUUUAUAUGCUUUUUAGUAAAAAUUAUUCAUGGUGAUCAAUAUUUCUUUCUCACUUGCCAUCUGCUCUGCUUCUUUGGCUGUGCAGUUCUAGGUGAAUGAUGCACUGUGCUGUAUAAUGCACUCCACAAAUUUAUUGACUCGGAUGCAGCAUUUUUACGAAGAGCAUGCAAACAUGUAAUCACUGAACAUAAGUCUUCUGGGGUAGGUAAUUGCCAAUUCUUUCCCAUCCCAAGGAACAAUCAGGUAAUCAUUAGGCUUGCCACACAGAUGUCUGUCUCCUCUCGUCGUGCAGGUGGCAGUCAGUAGUUUCUCUAUCAGAAGGUGGAAGCAACUCACUCCACAUUUUCCUACAGUGUAACUGGUCAGAAGAAUUGUAUCCUGCAUGUUGCAGGAAAUUUUGAUAUUUUCCUGUUGCAUCUGUUUGUGAAGAAACCCCGUUUUCCUGCAAUUCCACUUUAAUUGAUUUCUCAGCAGCCAGUUUUGCACUACUGAAUCACCCCACCUGAAAGCCUCAGAAUAGGGUCUUUGGGCUGGAACAAUGGCACUUAGGUGGUUUGGCCACCUCUUCCUUAAUCUGAAAGCAGAUGUCUGUAGCCAGUUAAUAAUCUGUGACUCUUGUACUUUCCUUUCGUUAUCUGGCUUGGAGGAUUUGCUUUAAUGAGGUUUAUGUGUUUUGCUGGUUUGUUGGAUACACUUUUCAUUCCCUCAAGCAAACCAUUGUAGCCUUCAUUAUCAUUAUUACUAUUUUCUUUCUGCAUGUCAUUGGGCUAGUUAUUAAUACUCAAGGAAUUUUCUUAAAUCUGGUAAAAUAACAGCAAUAUAGUGAUGGGGACUGUCUUGAGGACAGAUGAGGAUCAAGGGUUCUUAAUGCUGCCUCUCCUGUGAAGCCAUCCUUGAUUUUCUUAAUAGCCCUGUCCAGAGUUGAAAUUAAUAGCCCUCUCCAGAGGGCUCCCUCCAAAGUUGCUUCCAUAAUUGCAGAUUUUUCCUUUGUUGCUUUCUUUUAUGAGCCUGCCCUGUGUAAGUUGUCUUCAUGAUUGUUUCCCUCCUGGAUGGCAGAGUCUUCAGAGACAGGAAUUGUUAUUCAUCUUUGCUUCCCUCCACAGAACACAGAACAUGUGCUUGUUAAUUACUUGUUAAAUUGGAGAUUGUCACAUUUUCUAGACUAAAUGCCCUCAGCACCCUCGUUUCACCAGUCAAGGAUCGUUGGGUGGCAAGAGUAGAAAUUCACAUCGAUUCUCUUUGGGCAAAGGCAGGCAUUUAUUUGGAGAAUACAGGUGUGUCCCUCAGAGCUAACGCUGGGAAGUAGAUCCAGCCAGGAUGCAGGUUGGGAGAGGGACUGUUAUGUGAAAGUCCUAGGUACCCUGAUUCACUGUCUAUUUAUCUCUUGAAGUGAUUGAUGGUGCGGCUGUGCCAUGAUCUCAGCCUCUGAGAGUUGGUCUCUGUUUUUGGAUCUUUUUCCCUUCCUGGAUCACUAGAGCCUAUAAUGGUCUUGCUCUUCUUUCUGCUCUUGGAGGAAUGCACAGUUCAUUCAUCUCACAUCUACUUGGGCUGAUUCCUACCCUGCUCUGCAACUUCCUGUGCUGCUCUGAGGUUUGUCUUCUGCGUUGCAGCUUCUGUUUGUUCAUGUGCUUUCAUGUGCCCUGAAUGGCCCUCCCUCAUCUUUAUUUGUCCAUCAGGGCUCAGCUUAAGUGUCACCUCCUUAAGAGCCCCUUUAUUGUGCGAAGUCUCCCCUUCCCCUCCAAGAUGCUAUUUCACAGUCAGUUAUUUCAUAUUCCUUUUCUUAAGGUGCAAUUACAUAUGUAUAUGCUUGUUUACUUGUUCAUUGCCUUUUUCCCCUGCUAGAAGGCAAGCUCUUGAAGGCUAAGGCCAUCUCCACCUUGUUGACCUUGGAUCCCAGUGUUUGGCCUGCAGUGGGAGUGCUGUAAAUGUCCAAGGUUCAGUUGUCUGGCUGUCAUAUAUCUCUCAGGGCUAUGACACAGCCUCUUCCAGGACAACUGAAACCGAACCCUGCAUUAGCCCACCUGUAUCAGGGUGAUAAAUUCCCUGUUUGUGUAGUCAACUGCCCUGCCAUGAACGUAGUACUCUGUAAUGUGCAUAAUAUAAUCAUUUAGCUUUUGGGCUGGUUUUUCUGCAUCAUUUGAUAAAGUCAUAAACUUAAGUUAUGAAGUCAACUCUAUAGAGAUUAUGUCUAAGUAAAACAGAUCAAUGGGAUUUGUCUCAGGAACAAGAAAUUUAAUAUACUUCAUUUGACAGCCAACUAGAGUCAUUGUUUUUGCUUCCCAAAUGCGAGACUAAUCGUCCAGAUAUGAUGGGGGAGGUGUUCUUUUUGUUGUUGUCAUUGCAUGUGUGUGUUUUGUUUUUUGGCUUUUUUUUAUGUGCAAGAUAAGCAGUUUUGUCCCCCUUGCUACUGGAUCAGAGAAUGAGAUGGUUUUGGUCUGUUUCUUUUGGCAGUAAGAAAUAAUGUCUUGGUAGUGGGACUUGGGACAUAUCACGCAUUCUGACUAGUGUCUCCCAAACUUAGGCACCCCAGCUUCUACAAUUGUACAAUUAAGGGCAUACUAUAGACUGGAUUCAAAUCCCAUCCCUUCACUGAUUAACUUUAUUAUAUUGGGCACAUUAUUUAUUCUGUUAACUUGCAUUCUUUCGUUUAUAAGAUAGGGAUAAAAUAAUACAGUCUGUGCAGGAAUAUAGGUAAAGUUUCAUUCAGAUGAUAUGUACUGUCAACACAAAGCCAAACAGACAGUUGAGUAUUUAUAAACUUGGGCAUCAUCUUCAUUAGCGGCAGCAUCUUCACAUCUUCAUCAUUUUCAUCUCUCCAAGAGAGCCUUAAAAGGAGGCACAGGUGAAUCAUUCUAUGGAAUGAUUGGUCAGUGGGAACCUGCUGUAAAGCACAGAGAACUCUAUCCAGUAUGCUGUAAUCAUCUUUAUGGGAAGAGAAUCUGAAAGAGAAUGGUUGUGUGUACAUGUAUGACUGAAUCACUUUGUUGUGCAACAGAAAUUAUCACAACAUUGGAAGUCAACUAUACUUCAAUAAAACUUUAAAAAA